RNAcentral lists this transfer RNA (74 nucleotides) under Verrucomicrobiota bacterium. Its description in RNAcentral is "Verrucomicrobia bacterium (groundwater metagenome) tRNA-Val". It matches the Rfam family "tRNA". Rfam says of the family: Transfer RNA (tRNA) molecules are approximately 80 nucleotides in length. Lineage: Bacteria; Pseudomonadati; Verrucomicrobiota. The record is from RNAcentral.
CGCCCGAUGGUGAAACAGGAUCACGUCUGUCCUACAAACAGAAAUCGGAGGUGCGACUCCUUCUCGGGCGACCA